RNAcentral lists this ribosomal RNA (438 nucleotides) under uncultured bacterium. Its description in RNAcentral is "partial 16S ribosomal RNA". It matches the Rfam family "Bacterial small subunit ribosomal RNA", at positions 339 to 795 of the family's 1533-position model. The record is from RNAcentral.
CUACGGGGCGCACCAGUGAGGAAUAUUGCACAAUGGGGGGAACCCUGAUGCAGCAACGCCGCGUGGAGGAUGACGCAUUUCGGUGUGUAAACUCCUUUUAUAUGUCAAGAAAAUGACGGUAGCAUAUGAAUAAGCACCGGCUAACUCCGUGCCAGCAGCCGCGGUAAUACGGAGGUGCAAGCGUUACUCGGAAUCACUGGGCGUAAAGGACGCGUAGGCGGGUUGGAAAGUCAGGUGUGAAAUCCUACAGCUUAACUGUAGAACUGCACUUGAAACUUCUAAUCUAGAGUAUGGGAGGGGGAGAUGGAAUUAGUGGUGUAGGAGUAAUAUCCGUAGAUAUCACUAGGAAUACCUAAAGCGAAGGCGAUCUCCUGGAACAUUACUGACGCUAAGGCGUGAAAGCGUGGGGAGCAAACAGGAUUAGAUACCCCGGUAGUC